RNAcentral lists this ribosomal RNA (104 nucleotides) under uncultured bacterium. RNAcentral's name for it is "partial 16S ribosomal RNA". It matches the Rfam family "Bacterial small subunit ribosomal RNA", at positions 1379 to 1482 of the family's 1533-position model. The record is from RNAcentral.
CCUUGUACACACCGCCCGUCACACCAUGGGAGUUGGUUUCACCCGAAGGCGCUACGCUAACCGCAAGGAGGCAGCCGGCCACGGUAGGGUCAGCGACUGGGGUG